GAUGAACGCUGGCGGCGUGCCUAAUACAUGCAAGUCGAGCGAACGGACGCGUAGCUUGCUUCUCUGAUGUUAGCGGCGGACGGGUGAGUAACACGUGGAUAACCUACCGAUAAGACUGGGAUAACUACGGGAAACCGGAGCUAAUACCGGAUAAUAUUUUGAACCGCAUGGUUCAAAAGUGAAAGACGGUCUUGCUGUCACUUAUAGAUGGAUCCGCGCUGCAUUAGCUAGUUGGUAAGGUAACGGCUUACCAAGGCAACGAUGCAUAGCCGACCUGAGAGGGUGAUCGGCCACACUGGAACUGAGACACGGUCCAGACUCCUACGGGAGGCAGCAGUAGGGAAUCUUCCGCAAUGGGCGAAAGCCUGACGGAGCAACGCCGCGUGAGUGAUGAAGGUCUUCGGAUCGUAAAACUCUGUUAUUAGGGAAGAACAUAUGUGUAAGUAACUGUGCACAUCUUGACGGUACCUGAUCAGAAAGCCACGGCUAACUACGUG
This 497-nucleotide ribosomal RNA is filed under the name uncultured bacterium. Its description in RNAcentral is "partial 16S ribosomal RNA". It matches the Rfam family "Bacterial small subunit ribosomal RNA", at positions 28 to 507 of the family's 1533-position model. The record is from RNAcentral.